AUUGAACGCUGGCGGCAGGCCUAACACAUGCAAGUCGAACGAGUGGCGCACGGGUGAGUCAUGUCUGGGAAACUGCCCGAUGGAGGGGGAUAACUACUGGAAACGGUAGCUAAUACCGCAUACCAUCAGAUGUGCCCAGAUGGGAUUAGCUUGUUGGUGGGGUAACGGCUAACCAAGGCGACGAUCCGUAGCUGGUCUGAGAGGAUGACCAGCCACACGGGAACGGAGACACGGCCCAGACUCCUACGGGAGGCAGCAGUGGGGAAGAUGGCACAAGGGGCGCAAGCCUGAUGCGGCCAUGCCGCGGGGAUGAAGAAGUCCUUCGGGUUGUAAAGUACUUUCAGCGGGGAGGCGUUACCCGCAGAAGAAGCACCGGCUAACUCCGUGCCAGCAGCCGCGGUAAUAC
RNAcentral lists this ribosomal RNA (406 nucleotides) under uncultured bacterium. RNAcentral describes it as "partial 16S ribosomal RNA". It matches the Rfam family "Bacterial small subunit ribosomal RNA", at positions 29 to 526 of the family's 1533-position model. The record is from RNAcentral.